GAGUAUUUAAUUUAAUUUACAGUAACAAGUGGGCCCAUGAACGACUAAAAGUAUUAAAAUCAGUAAACCUAUAGUUUUUGAGGAAGUAAAGCCAACUGUAGCCUUCGACGAUAUCAGCUAUCUACAGCCUAUACUAAGCCUGAAAUGGGUGAAAAGAAUGGUGGUGAGAUUAUAUAAUCCCAGUGAGUAUACAGAUACCAUCUAAAAUAUCUAAAGCUGAGUAAAUGGAGACAGAUAAAAUAGUUUGAUAUACUGCAAUUCAUCACCUUUCAACUCGUUUCAAUCAAAUAAAAUCAAUUCAUAUAAAUCGAGUAAUCAACAUGGCUUAUGAAUUUCUUAAGACUUUGGCUCGUGCCAAAAAUCAUUUUCAUACCUAGUUAUCAAGGAUGCCUUGAUCGAGGGCUAUCCCAACCGAGUCCGCCAAGGCUGUUAAAAAGUUAUAUAUGCAUAAAUCCUAUUUUAUUAUGAAAACAUAGCCGUUCCUUGGAGUUAGCGGAGUUCAUCAUCACGAGGUGGUUUGGCGUGAAGUGAACUCUAAAGUUAUACCUCGGGAGUUACCCUACUCGCCUCUCCAACCGAGGUAAAAUAUGACUAGGUUCCGUGCCCCUCUAAUAGGCUAGUCCACAGAACCAGCCCACUGCAGCAAGCUAAACCCACCAUACAAUAAAAAUUCAACAGCAUGAUAUGGCAAUUUUAUCAUUAUCCAGCCUAUCAAGCCAAACAACAGUUUAUACAUUUCAACACAAAUACCAAUUCAGCCAUUCAUGCCAAUAUUGUCAUAAGCCAAUCAAUUAGAACCAUAAAUUCACAAUACAUCAAAUGGUCUCCAAUUACUCUAUUUGCAAAGCCAUCAUUCAAUUUUAAAACAAUUUUAUGAAAUCAUUUUAUUUAAACCCAUUUUGUUUAUAAAACCUAAAAAUUAACCAUUUAAACUCAUUUUUCCAUAAAAUUCACAAAAUCGGAUAAAAACCACUCUAGAUAAUAAAGACGAUAAAAGGGUUACUCACAAUGUCUAGAGUGCGAAUUUUUGAAGUACUCUGACUACUGGUCCUCGGAUGCAAUUUUCUUGCCUUUAUCGGAG
Molecule: long non-coding RNA, 1081 nt
Filed under: Theobroma cacao (cacao)
Lineage: Eukaryota; Viridiplantae; Streptophyta; Magnoliopsida; Malvales; Malvaceae
Description: long non-coding RNA (TCAC_LNC003160)
Source: RNAcentral